Molecule: long non-coding RNA, 993 nt
Filed under: Nicotiana tabacum (common tobacco)
Lineage: Eukaryota; Viridiplantae; Streptophyta; Magnoliopsida; Solanales; Solanaceae
Description: long non-coding RNA (NTAB_LNC017208)
Source: RNAcentral
UUUAAUUGAAUCUACCAAAGAAAACAAAAAUUGACCAGCCUGGCCAAACGCAAGUUGGGGAAUCGGGCUUCUAAGGGCCGGGGUUAAGGUGCUUAAACCGAUCGAAACGGUUCCGAGUCUAAUACAUUCCGGCCCGAUGAUGGAACCAGGCUCCAAAAAUUUUGGCCUGUUCCCGCCCUUUGACACCCAUAAAAUUCAGGAUCUAAUUAUGUAUAUGUAAUAGAACUAACUAUAGAUGAACUCUUUUGAAAGUGUGGCUAUGUGAUUAUGUGUUAUUCUGAGUUUUCAAGUCUAAUAAUCUCCCUCUCUCUUUUUUUUUAUACUUUAUACUUAGUAUAGAGAAUAUUAUUCAGAUGAAGAAUCAGCAGAGGAAGAUAUGGUUGAAGCAGAUUGGAGCGCUGGAAACUAAUGUUUCUAUUGCAUCUUUUGAGGACUUUACCAAAUCUAUAAGGAAGCAACAUAAGAAAAAACUGAACGCUAGGUAACUGCAUGCUUGGCUAAAGAAUGACUAGUAAAUUUCCCUCAAGAUCUACUUGUGUAAGAGAACUAACUGUGUGGGAAAGACUUUUUGAGGGGAGAAUUUCUUCUACAAUUAACAUCAGUAUUCUCCUAUAGUAUCACUACUUUGGUCGAAACAUUUGUUCUUUAAAUGUUGGGAUAUUUGAUGAUACAAGUCUGUUCGAAAGUGGCACAUUAUUGUUUGCAAAGAAAAUAAAAUUGUGCCCUUACAUCUAUAAUAAACAGGGGAACUUUUUUAACAAUGGUCUUCUGGUUGAAGUUAGAUAUAUAUGUUAAAUCUUUUAAAGCAUGUCAUUAUGUAUUAUGUGUUCUGUCGAGUUUCCAACUCUAAUAAUCUCUUAUUCUUGUAAUGGUCAUUUUACAGAGUUAGAUUCAGAUGAAGAAGGAGCAGAGGGAGAUGUGGAGAAGAAAAAGAUCCAGAGGAAGACUUGAGCAAAUGAGUUUUAAGGUAGACUUGUGACGGAAGGUAGACUG